RNAcentral lists this ribosomal RNA (467 nucleotides) under uncultured bacterium. RNAcentral's name for it is "partial 16S ribosomal RNA". It matches the Rfam family "Bacterial small subunit ribosomal RNA", at positions 28 to 507 of the family's 1533-position model. The record is from RNAcentral.
GAUGAACGCUGGCGGCGUGCUUAACACAUGCAAGUCGAACGGUGAAGCAGAGCUUGCUCUGUGGAUCAGUGGCGAAGGGGGGAGUAACACGUGAGCAACCUGCCCCUGACCCUGGGAUAAGCGCUGGAAACGGCGACUAAUACCGGACAUGAGCUUCGACCGCAUGGGCAGGGGUUGGAAAGGUUUGUCUGGUUGGGAUGGGCUAACGGCCUAUCAGCUUGUUGGUGUGGUAAUGUCGCACCCAGGCGCCGCCGCGUAGCCGGCCUGAGAGGGUGACCGGCCCCGCUGGGCUUGGACCGCGACACAGCCUCCUCCGGGACGCAGCAGUGCGGUAUAUUGCACUAUGGGCGGAGCCCUGAUGCAGCACCGCCGCGUCGGGGAUGACGGCCUUCGGGUUGUAUUCCUCUUUUCGCUGGGACGAAGCGAAAGUGACGGUACCUGCAGAAAAAGCGCCGGCUAACUCCGUG